GGCCCUUUAGCUCAGUUGGUUAGUAGCGCACGACUCAUAAUCGUUAGGUCCCCAGUUCGAGUCUGGGAAGGGCCACCA
This 78-nucleotide transfer RNA is filed under the name Vibrio splendidus. RNAcentral describes it as "tRNA-Ile". It matches the Rfam family "tRNA". From Rfam's summary of the family: Transfer RNA (tRNA) molecules are approximately 80 nucleotides in length. Their secondary structure includes four short double-helical elements and three loops (D, anti-codon, and T loops). Lineage: Bacteria; Pseudomonadati; Pseudomonadota; Gammaproteobacteria; Vibrionales; Vibrionaceae. The record is from RNAcentral.